RNAcentral lists this long non-coding RNA (3862 nucleotides) under Arachis ipaensis. RNAcentral describes it as "long non-coding RNA (AIPA_LNC001583)". Lineage: Eukaryota; Viridiplantae; Streptophyta; Magnoliopsida; Fabales; Fabaceae. The record is from RNAcentral.
CCACCCUAGACUGGAGUCGGAAUACUAUACAAAAGAUCUUAACCCCUCAUAAAAUAUACUAAAUACGAGGAAAAUAACCUAAACUACUAUCUAACUAUGCUCCUCCAAUACAACAUACUCCUAUGGACUAUAAGUCAGAUCAAUGAUCAUCGUGUCCUCCCAAGGUAGAAUGACUUCAGAUGGUGUCUCGUAGGAAGGGGUCGACAAGAAACUAUUAGGAAUGGUCGGCUUGACGACCUUUCCUAAAGAACCAAACUAAGCAUCCAAUGGUUCCAGAGGCUAAUAAUAAGACACAGAGUCCACCAGUAUCAAUGGCUCAGGUACAGAGCCAAAUCACUCAUGAUAGAUAGGCUAGAUGUUGAAAGGUGACUCUGGCUCCAGGUCUGGCUAAUAAAAAUGUUGUGGUGGAAAAGGGUGAUAGAAGACUCCAGGGUGUAACUCUGACAGUAGAAAAUCAUAAGGAGAAUCAGUAUUGAACUGCUGAGAAAGAAGGGGAUAAGAAAAGGACUGCUCGAAAAGCGUGUAAAUUUACGUACUCAGCUCACCCCAGAUGAAAGUGUUGCCCCAUGCGGAAUCCUUGUAGCGGGCUAGUAGAGGGUACUCAAAGAAAAUGAUUCCUAAUCUCAUCUGUGGAGUGGGAAAAAAAGGGGAAUGAAAACCAAUAGUUCCCAGCAAGACGAUAACGGAGAACAAAGAGAUUUUCGUGCUAAGCCUAAGUUUUAUGUGUAACUAGAGAAUUUUCAUACUAAAUUUACGUUCACUGAAGUCGUUCAACAAGGUACACAAACAAAUAAGAGAUCAAAUAAAUGACAAUACACAAGUAGGAAUUAAGCACAUAUAUUCAAUCACAUAGAAAUGCGCAAUCAAGUAUGAUGCAUACCUUAUCUUAGUGCAAGCUAUGAACUCAUGUGUUAGUUGUCUACCCGCUCCCGACAUUAUCCAAACAUAAGUUUCGGAUAUGAUUUUUUAGCUAGUGCGCCUCAUCAUAAUUAUAUAAAGGUAUUUGAUCGCCAUGUCAAAUACAAUAAACAAACAUCUGAUCGUCAUGUCAGAUGUUUCUUUGAACUGAAAAAUGACUCAACAUUCUGUGGGCGUUCCCACACUUCUGGCUAGACGGUCUAAAACUCUGCACUACCAGGUGGUCAUCACGCAUCAUUGGAUCUUUUACUUUUUUUUGGGGGUACAUUAUAGUGACUUAUCGAAGGGACUCUCUUGCCCUUGCUCACUCAAUACAUUACUAUGGUAUCAUUUCAUAACUUAAGAGAUUCUCUACUCUUAGCCUUUCAACCUUCGAUACCAUAUUAUUCAAGUUUUCAUUAAGUAUUAAAUGUCUUUUAUACUCUUGUUUAUCCUAAAAGUGACACUCUACCAUAUUAUCAUUAUAUUUUUUCAUAAAGACCAUCUUACUCCUAAGACUUACUAAUUAACCAUUUUAGUUUUUUUCUAAAUGAUCAUUUUAAUCAUAGGUGUCAUAAUUAAUUAUCCUAGUAUUAAUUAUUAUCCAAGUUGAUAAUUUACACUCUAAUUUACCAAAUAAGCUUCAAUUCUUUUAUUAAUACCCAUUUCGUCCUUAAUAACCUAAUCUUACAUUUUUAUCCCUAAUUCUUUACUAAAAUCCUUAUUUAGACUCAACAUGUAUCUUAUUUUACAACUUGACUCUAAUUAGCUUAUAUAAUAUUCCACAUUUACCCCUAGUACACACUAUGUUUUAACCUUAUUAGUUACCUAAUUUUUCUAAGUGUCACUUUUAGUACAUCCUACAUUUUUUCUAGGAUCAUACAUUAGAUUUUGAGUAAAACCCCUCCCCGGUCCCUAACCAUUUACGAAAUUGACCUGGCGCCCCCUCAUCAUUGGAAAUUAACAACGCGGUCCUUAACCAUUCUUUCCGUGUGACCAAAAGGACCCUCUUACCGGUACUUCCGGUUAAGAGGGUCCUUUCGGUCACACGGAGAGAAUGGAUAAGGACCGUGUUAUUAUUUUCUAAUGGUGAGGGGACCGGGGAGGACUUUUACUUAAAAUUGGAAAAUAAAUAAAAAAAAUAUUGUUUUAAGUUUGUAUCUAAUGCUUUUUGCCAUAUUUUACAUGUGGACGGAGAGCAAACAACGUUAAACUUAAUAAAUAGCACGAAAUCAUUAACAACGAGACUUAACACAAAAGUGAUAAUUAUUUGGGUUGAUUAAGCACUAUUAUUUAGGUUUUAAGAAUGACAUAUAUGUUCUAUAUUGUUGAACCUAAAAAAAAAAUAGUUCAAGAUUAUUAUUCCAUAUACACCUUUUUCUAAAAAAAUUAAACUGCUUUUCUUAUUAGUGGAAUUAAAUUCAUAAACCAUAAUUUUAAUAGUAGGAUUACACGUAGAGACUAAAUAUUCUUUUGAGAUUUUUAGAAGUGAUAUUUGUUGAUAUGGCGAAUUAAUUUUAAUUUAAUUUUACGUAUUUUAAUUUUGUUUAUUUAGUUACUAAUUUGAAUUUUAUGUCAGAGGAUUUAGAAUUUUCUUUAUUUAACCUAAAGUUGAGUGAGUUUCUUCGAUUUAAUUUUCAAACCAGUGAACAAAUUAUAUUGAGGUAUUUCUUUCUUGUUGCAUCAAGAAAUUGAAUACAAAGAAAAUCAGUUUGAUUUUUUAUUCAAUUUCUUGAUGCAACAAGAAAGAAAUACCUCAAUCUAAUUUGUUCACUGGUUUGGAAAUUAAAUCGAAAAAACUCACUCAACUUUAGGUUAAAUAAAGAAAACUCUAAAUCCUCUAACAUAAAAUUUAAAUUAGUAACUAAAUAAACAAAAUUAAAAUACGUAAAAUUAAAUUAAAAUUAAUUCGUCAUAUUACGAACAUUUGAAUGAAACAAAUAUCACUUCUAAAAAUCUAAAAAGAAUAUUUAAUCUCUAUGUGUAACCCUACUAUUAAAAUAUUUAGUCCCUAACCAUCUAGAAAAGGACCUGGCGUCCCCUGACCAUUAGAAAAUAACAACACGAUCCUUAUCCAUUCUCUCGUGUGACCGAAAUGACCUUCUUGUCAGUUUUCAGGUAAAAAGUAACCGAAAGUACCGGUAAGAGGGUCCUUUUGGUCACACAGAGAGAAUGGUUAAGGACCGCGUUGUUAAUUUCCAAUGGUGAAGGGGCGCCAGGUCAAUUUCGUAAAUAGUUAGGGACCGAGGAGGGGUUUUACUCUUAGAUUUUAACUUAUUUUCUCAUAUUUUUACUUUAAUUUUUUUAUCAUCUUUCUAAACCUUCAUAUUAUGACUUAUUCUUAUAUCUUAGUAUCUUUUAUAAUUAUGAAGCUCACCUCAAGUGUCUGUCAAUGUUCGACCCUCAAUAAUACGUUUAGGCAUAGCCUUUAUAUUCACAAUUAGCAUUCAUUUCAUCAAAAUGAAGCAAUUCAUCAUAUAAUCAAUAUUCAUGCAACUCAUGCAUCAUACACUUUUAAAGAGGGCAUACACAAAUCAAUAUCAAGCAUAGAAAUCAAAUAAACAUUAUCACCCUUACUUUAGUCUUGAUGUUCACUCUUGAACACGUUAGAAAUACUAAAUCUCCUAAACAAAGGCAACUUGACAAUUAAUGAAAAAUCAAUGCUUAUGGCCGAGACUUAGGAGCAAUGGAGGAGCUGAGAUACAACUUUUUUUUGCUUGAAAUACUAGCCUCCAACCAUCCUCCUUGUAGUUCCUAAAGGUGAUUAUCUUACUAAAUUUUCAAAGGAAAGAAUAAGAAAAAUGGAGAAAGGAAGUAGGAAACUUGGUGCUUGAAAGAAUCAGUGAAGUGAAAGUUAUGAAAUCGACACAAAGAAUCACUUUUUUCUUCUCUCAAGGCUUCGACCACUCUCUCUCUUUCUCUUUAAUUUCUUUUCUUUCUCACUUGUUAAGUUUGAUUAGUGUAG